GAAUUCAUAGCUCAGUUGGUUAGAGCACCGCACCGGCAUCGCAGAGAUCAUGGGUUCGAAUCCCGUUGAAUCACCU
Molecule: transfer RNA, 76 nt
Filed under: Acropora cervicornis
Lineage: Eukaryota; Metazoa; Cnidaria; Anthozoa; Scleractinia; Acroporidae
Description: tRNA-Ala
Rfam family: tRNA
About the family: Transfer RNA (tRNA) molecules are approximately 80 nucleotides in length. Their secondary structure includes four short double-helical elements and three loops (D, anti-codon, and T loops).
Source: RNAcentral